This 443-nucleotide ribosomal RNA is filed under the name Enterobacter cancerogenus. RNAcentral describes it as "bacterial SSU rRNA". It matches the Rfam family "Bacterial small subunit ribosomal RNA", at positions 8 to 451 of the family's 1533-position model. Lineage: Bacteria; Pseudomonadati; Pseudomonadota; Gammaproteobacteria; Enterobacterales; Enterobacteriaceae. The record is from RNAcentral.
AGAGUUUGAUUCCUGGCUCAGAUUGAACGCUGGCGGCAGGCCUAACACAUGCAAGUCGAAGGUAGCACAGAGAGCUUGCUCUCGGGUGACGAGUGGCGGACGGGUGAGUAAUGUCUGGGAACUGCCUGAUGGAGGGGGAUAACUACUGGAAACGGUAGCUAAUACCGCAUAACGUCGCAAGACCAAAGAGGGGGACCUUCGGGCCUCUUGCCAUCAGAUGUGCCCAGAUGGGAUUAGCUAGUAGGUGGGGUAACGGCUCACCUAGGCGACGAUCCCUAGCUGGUCUGAGAGGAUGACCAGCCCACUGGAACUGAGACACGGUCCAGACUCCUACGGGAGGCAGCAGUGGGGAAUAUUGCACAAUGGGCGCAAGCCUGAUGCAGCCAUGCCGCGUGUAUGAAGAAGGCCUUCGGGUUGUAAAGUACUUUCAGCGGGGAGGAAGG